AACGAACGCUGGCGGCAUGCCUAACACAUGCAAGUCGAACGAGACCUUCGGGUCUAGUGGCGCACGGGUGCGUAACGCGUGGGAACCUGCCCUUAGGUUCGGAAUAACUCCCCGAAAGGGGUGCUAAUACCGGAUAAUUUCUUCUGACCAAAGAUUUAUCGCCUUUGGAUGGGCCCGCGUUGGAUUAGCUUGUUGGUAGGGUAAAAGCCUACCAAGGCGAGGAUCCAUAGCUGGUCUGAGAGGAUGAUCAGCCACACUGGGACUGAGACACGGCCCAGACUCCUACGGGAGGCAGCAGUGGGGAAUAUUGGACAAUGGGCGAAAGCCUGAACCAGCAAGGCCGCGAGAGUGAUGAAGGCCUUAGGGUUGUAAAGCUCUUUUACCCGGGAUGAUAAUGACAGUACCGGGAGAAUAAGCUCCGGCUAACUCCGUG
RNAcentral lists this ribosomal RNA (433 nucleotides) under uncultured bacterium. Its description in RNAcentral is "partial 16S ribosomal RNA". It matches the Rfam family "Bacterial small subunit ribosomal RNA", at positions 29 to 507 of the family's 1533-position model. The record is from RNAcentral.